GGAUGUGAGAGUGAUCUAGCUGUGACAUCUGUCAAUCCCAUUGAUCUCCAGGACUGAUAGGCUGGUCUGGCUGGGUAGACGGGUAUCCCUUUCCUUCUUUACCACUGGGUUUGAGUCUCUCCUAACGCUGGGCGCUUGGUUGAAGAGGAUGACCUUCCCCAACAAAGAAGAACCUUUGACAGUCAAGGGUGUAUGAGUGUCUGCACUCCCCCGCUAGACCCACCAAACCUGACUCAGAUGACUUAAAACAUUUUUGCUUCCAGUUACCUAAUGUCACAAGAAAAUACGUAUCAGAAAUGCAGCAGAUGAAAACCUGGACCAUCUGCCAGAUUC
This 333-nucleotide small nuclear RNA is filed under the name Nannospalax galili (Upper Galilee mountains blind mole rat). RNAcentral's name for it is "7SK RNA (ENSNGAG00000007638.1)". It matches the Rfam family "7SK RNA". From Rfam's summary of the family: 7SK was discovered as an abundant small nuclear RNA in the mid-70s but a possible function has only recently been suggested. Lineage: Eukaryota; Metazoa; Chordata; Mammalia; Rodentia; Spalacidae. The record is from RNAcentral.